RNAcentral lists this ribosomal RNA (252 nucleotides) under uncultured bacterium. Its description in RNAcentral is "partial 16S ribosomal RNA". It matches the Rfam family "Bacterial small subunit ribosomal RNA", at positions 525 to 776 of the family's 1533-position model. The record is from RNAcentral.
ACGAAGGGUGCAAGCGUUAAUCGGAAUUACUGGGCGUAAAGCGCGCGUAGGCGGUUUGAUAAGUGAGAUGUGAAAGCCCCGGGCUCAACCUGGGAACUGCAUCUCAUACUGUCAGGCUAGAGUACGGUAGAGGGGGGUAGAAUUCCACGUGUAGCGGUGAAAUGCGUAGAGAUGUGGAGGAAUACCAGUGGCGAAGGCGGCCCCCUGGAUCGAUACUGACGCUGAGGUGCGAAAGCGUGGGGAGCAAACAGG